UUGGGAGCUCACUGGCUUCGGAGUCAUGGGAACUCCGAAGUUAAGCGAGUUGGGGCUAGAUCAAUCCCAAGAUGGGUGACCUACUAAGAAGUUGCUUGUGAGUUCCCAGA
Molecule: non-coding RNA, 110 nt
Organism: Prunus persica (peach)
Lineage: Eukaryota; Viridiplantae; Streptophyta; Magnoliopsida; Rosales; Rosaceae
Source: Rfam